RNAcentral lists this transfer RNA (93 nucleotides) under Felis catus (domestic cat). It matches the Rfam family "tRNA". Rfam says of the family: Transfer RNA (tRNA) molecules are approximately 80 nucleotides in length. Their secondary structure includes four short double-helical elements and three loops (D, anti-codon, and T loops). Lineage: Eukaryota; Metazoa; Chordata; Mammalia; Carnivora; Felidae. The record is from Rfam by way of RNAcentral.
GCCUGGGUGGCUCAGUUGGUUAAGCGUCCGACUUCGGCUCAGGUCGUGAUCUCACAGUUCAUGGGUUCGUGAGUUCGAGCCCCACCUCAGGCU